UUUGCCGAGAAAGGAGCUCCGGAGCCGCGACGCGCACCACCACCUCUGCCUUUGCAGCCCGAGGGGAGCUGUGGAUGCGGCUUUUUCACGGGGGUUGGCUGAAUUUCGGAGCGCGCCACAAACAGUAAGUACUUACAGAAGCAGUACAAGAAACUGCAUCGGAAAACAGGGAGAGAAAGUAUACAGUGCCUCGGCUGUUCCACGCGGUCGGAUGAGGAGACCCGCGGAGGUGGUGGUUACACAGCAAAGCAGCGGUAAGGCGCGUAUUGUAGUAUGCCCUCGAAGAAGCAGUACAACCUCGUGCAGAAUGACGAGAACGACACGCGCAUACCGCUCCACAGCGAGGAGGCCUUCCAUCGGGGCAUCGUUUUCC
This is a long non-coding RNA of Copidosoma floridanum, 373 nucleotides long. Lineage: Eukaryota; Metazoa; Arthropoda; Insecta; Hymenoptera; Encyrtidae. The record is from RefSeq and is a predicted model, not a curated record.